Etheostoma cragini (Arkansas darter) is the source of this 432-nucleotide long non-coding RNA. RefSeq lists it as uncharacterized. The transcript has 3 exons. The record is from RefSeq and is a predicted model, not a curated record. NCBI's taxonomy places the organism in Eukaryota, Metazoa, Chordata, Actinopteri, Perciformes, Percidae.
AAGUUCAUUAUAUGUGCCAUGAAACAGCAGAAACAUUUGAUUAACCGCAAUUGCAUUGUCCUUAGGCUUGAGUUUGCCAGUUGGCGGCACAAAUGAAAGACAUGAUGAUGAGCUGCAGAGGAGAAUGAUUAGAGAUGUGUCUCCCAAUAAUAUCUCCGUGAAGAGGGCCUUUGCACUUCUCCAGUCAAUGGAGUCCAAGUUGAUCCGAGCCGCUAAAGAAGCACAACUGGAAACCAAUGAAGUGGAAGCUGAGGCAGCUAUUAAAAAACUUGCAGAUGUUUAAUUGGCCCUGAACGGACCCGAACAGCUCAAAACCUGCCUGACGCUGGGCGACCAGCCCGCCAACCAGACGUCCGCCAACGUGACGCUGGGCGACCAGCCCGCCAACCAGACGUCCGCCAACGUGACGCUGGGCGACCAGCCCGCCAACCA